RNAcentral lists this ribosomal RNA (198 nucleotides) under uncultured bacterium. RNAcentral describes it as "partial 16S ribosomal RNA". It matches the Rfam family "Bacterial small subunit ribosomal RNA", at positions 396 to 584 of the family's 1533-position model. The record is from RNAcentral.
GCCGCGUGAUUAAUGAAGGUUUUCGGAUCGUAAAGCUCCUCUGUUAGGGAAGAACAAGUACCGUUCGAAUAGGGCGGUACCUUGACGGUACCUAACCAGAAAGCCACGGCUAACUACGUGCCAGCAGCCGCGGUAAUACGUAGGUGGCAAGCGUUGUCAAUGCAUUAUUGGGCGUAAAGGGCUCGCAGGCGGUUUCUU